This 621-nucleotide ribosomal RNA is filed under the name Salmonella enterica. Its description in RNAcentral is "partial 23S ribosomal RNA". It matches the Rfam family "Bacterial large subunit ribosomal RNA", at positions 2313 to 2925 of the family's 2925-position model. Lineage: Bacteria; Pseudomonadati; Pseudomonadota; Gammaproteobacteria; Enterobacterales; Enterobacteriaceae. The record is from RNAcentral.
AAGGUUGGCUAAUCCUGGUCGGACAUCAGGAGGUUAGUGCAAUGGCAUAAGCCAGCUUGACUGCGAGCGUGACGGCGCGAGCAGGUGCGAAAGCAGGUCAUAGUGAUCCGGUGGUUCUGAAUGGAAGGGCCAUCGCUCAACGGAUAAAAGGUACUCCGGGGAUAACAGGCUGAUACCGCCCAAGAGUUCAUAUCGACGGCGGUGUUUGGCACCUCGAUGUCGGCUCAUCACAUCCUGGGGCUGAAGUAGGUCCCAAGGGUAUGGCUGUUCGCCAUUUAAAGUGGUACGCGAGCUGGGUUUAGAACGUCGUGAGACAGUUCGGUCCCUAUCUGCCGUGGGCGCUGGAGAACUGAGGGGGGCUGCUCCUAGUACGAGAGGACCGGAGUGGACGCAUCACUGGUGUUCGGGUUGUCAUGCCAAUGGCACUGCCCGGUAGCUAAAUGCGGAAGAGAUAAGUGCUGAAAGCAUCUAAGCACGAAACUUGCCCCGAGAUGAGUUCUCCCUGAGACUUUAGGUCUCCUGAAGGAACGUUGAAGACGACGACGUUGAUAGGCCGGGUGUGUAAGCGCAGCGAUGCGUUGAGCUAACCGGUACUAAUGAACCGUGAGGCUUAACCUUACA